CUUCUAACCUCUAAUAUCUAAAUCGUUAGUGGCGACGGUGAGUAACACGUUGGAACCUGCCCCAAAGUAAGGGAUAAGCCACCGAAAGGUGGUCUAAUACCUUAUAGUAUCCAUCUCGUAUGGAUUAAAGCUUUAUGCGCUUUGGGAGGGGCCUGCGUUUGAUUAGCUAGUUGGUGAGGUAAAAGCUCACCAAGGCGACGAUCAAUAGCUGGUUUGAGAGGAUGACCAGCCACACUGGGACUGAGAUACGGCCCAGACUCCUACGGGAGGCGGCAGUAAGGAAUCUUCCACAAUGGGGGCAACCCUGAUGGAGCAAUACCGCGUGCAGGAUGAAGCGUUUCGGCGUGUAAACUGCUUUUAUCACCGAAGAUUAUGACUGUAGGUGAAGAAUAAGGACCGGCUAACUACGUG
This 411-nucleotide ribosomal RNA is filed under the name uncultured bacterium. RNAcentral's name for it is "bacterial SSU rRNA". It matches the Rfam family "Bacterial small subunit ribosomal RNA", at positions 67 to 507 of the family's 1533-position model. The record is from RNAcentral.